This 292-nucleotide ribosomal RNA is filed under the name uncultured bacterium. Its description in RNAcentral is "partial 16S ribosomal RNA". It matches the Rfam family "Archaeal small subunit ribosomal RNA", at positions 455 to 747 of the family's 1478-position model. The record is from RNAcentral.
GUGCAGCCGCCGCGGUAAUACCGGCAGCCCGCGUGAUGGCCGAUCUUAUUGGGCCUAAAGCGUCCGUAGCUGGGUCUGAAAGUCCAUCGGGAAAUCCACUCGCUCAACGAGUGGCCGUCCGGUGGAAACUCCUCACCUUGGGACCGGAAGGCUCGAAGGGUACGGCCGGGAUAGGAGUGAAGUCCUGUAAUCCCGGCCGGACCACCGAUGGCGAAAGCACUUCGAGAAAACGGAUCCGACAGUGAGGGACGAAAGCUAAGAUCGCGAACCGGAUUAGAUACCCUAGUAGUCC